RNAcentral lists this unclassified non-coding RNA (77 nucleotides) under Flavobacterium succinicans. RNAcentral's name for it is "Flavo-1 RNA". Lineage: Bacteria; Pseudomonadati; Bacteroidota; Flavobacteriia; Flavobacteriales; Flavobacteriaceae. The record is from RNAcentral.
GCCUAGCCCCGACAGGAGGGAUAAGCAGCUGAGCCGGGGUUCGGCUCGGCUGCUUAGGAAGGAUGGCGGGAACGUUG